RNAcentral lists this ribosomal RNA (430 nucleotides) under uncultured bacterium. RNAcentral's name for it is "partial 16S ribosomal RNA". It matches the Rfam family "Bacterial small subunit ribosomal RNA", at positions 29 to 507 of the family's 1533-position model. The record is from RNAcentral.
ACGAACGCUGGCGGCAGGCUUAACACAUGCAAGUCGAGCGCCCCGCAAGGGGAGCGGCAGACGGGUGAGUAACGCGUGGGAACGUACCUUUUGGUUCGGAACAACUCCGGGAAACUGGAGCUAAUACCGGAUAAGCCCUAACGGGGAAAGAUUUAUCGCCGAAAGAUCGGCCCGCGUCUGAUUAGCUAGUUGGUGAGGUAACGGCUCACCAAGGCGACGAUCAGUAGCUGGUCUGAGAGGAUGAUCAGCCACACUGGGACUGGGACACGGCCCAGACUCCUACGGGAGGCAGCAGUGGGGAAUAUUGGACAAUGGGCGCAAGCCUGAUCCAGCCAUGCCGCGUGAGUGAUGAAGGCCUUAGGGUUGUAAAGCUCUUUUGUCCGGGAAGAUAAUGACUGUACCGGAAGAAUAAGCCCCGGCUAACUUCGUG